This 532-nucleotide ribosomal RNA is filed under the name uncultured fungus. Its description in RNAcentral is "eukaryotic LSU rRNA". The stretch from base 194 to 343 matches the Rfam family "5.8S ribosomal RNA". Lineage: Eukaryota; Fungi. The record is from RNAcentral.
CUUGGUCAUUUAGAGGAAGUAAAAGUCGUAACAAGGUCUCCGUAGGUGAACCUGCGGAGGGAUCAUUAACGAACGAUCAUCCUUGAUCUUCCUACCCUCAAACCACUGUGGACAUGAGACGUGCUUCGGCGUCGUGAGGCGCCGCCUUUAUGCUCAAAGCCCUUCAAUGUCUGUCAUGAAUGAAAAAUGUCAAAACUUUCAACAAAGGAUCUCUUGGCUCUCGCAUCGAUGAAGAACGUAGCAAAGCGCGAAAUGUAGUGUGAAUUGCAGAACAUUGUGAAUCAUCGAAUCUUUGAACGCACAUUGCACCUCCCGCAGGGGAGGUAUGCCUGUCUGAGCGUCAUUGAAACCAAUAAACCCCAUCGUGGGUUUGUGCUGGGCCCCGCACAGGUGUGCGCCGCCUCAAAGCCAUGGUCUAACCUGCGGACGAGCUCCUCUAGGACCUGCCGUGGGUCGACCCCCCUCUCUCUGAAUUUGACCUCAGAUCAGGUAGGAAGACCGCCUGAACUUAAGCAUAUCAAUAAGCGGAGGA